RNAcentral lists this ribosomal RNA (247 nucleotides) under uncultured bacterium. RNAcentral describes it as "partial 16S ribosomal RNA". It matches the Rfam family "Bacterial small subunit ribosomal RNA", at positions 30 to 271 of the family's 1533-position model. The record is from RNAcentral.
AUUGAACGCUGGCGGCGUGCUUAACACAUGCAAGUCGAUCGGUAACAGGUGUAGCAAUACAUGCUGACGAGGGGCGGACGGGUGAGUAAUGCUUGGGAAUCUGCCUAUUAGUGGGGGACGAACCCGGGGAAACGUCGGGCGUAAUACCGCAUACGCUCUACGGAGGAAAGACCGGGGACCGGCAAGGCCUGGCGCUAAUAGAUGAGCCCAAGUCGGAUUAGCUAGUUGGUAGGGUAACGGCCACCAA